This 2243-nucleotide ribosomal RNA is filed under the name Pseudomonas aeruginosa. RNAcentral describes it as "bacterial LSU rRNA". It matches the Rfam family "Bacterial large subunit ribosomal RNA", at positions 656 to 2879 of the family's 2925-position model. Lineage: Bacteria; Pseudomonadati; Pseudomonadota; Gammaproteobacteria; Pseudomonadales; Pseudomonadaceae. The record is from RNAcentral.
UAUAGGGUAGGCGUAGCGAAAGCGAGUCUUAAUAGGGCGUUUAGUCGCUGGGUAUAGACCCGAAACCGGGCGAUCUAUCCAUGAGCAGGUUGAAGGUUAGGUAACACUGACUGGAGGACCGAACCCACUCCCGUUGAAAAGGUAGGGGAUGACUUGUGGAUCGGAGUGAAAGGCUAAUCAAGCUCGGAGAUAGCUGGUUCUCCUCGAAAGCUAUUUAGGUAGCGCCUCAUGUAUCACUCUGGGGGGUAGAGCACUGUUUCGGCUAGGGGGUCAUCCCGACUUACCAAACCGAUGCAAACUCCGAAUACCCAGAAGUGCCGAGCAUGGGAGACACACGGCGGGUGCUAACGUCCGUCGUGAAAAGGGAAACAACCCAGACCGCCAGCUAAGGUCCCAAAGUUGUGGUUAAGUGGUAAACGAUGUGGGAAGGCUUAGACAGCUAGGAGGUUGGCUUAGAAGCAGCCACCCUUUAAAGAAAGCGUAAUAGCUCACUAGUCGAGUCGGCCUGCGCGGAAGAUGUAACGGGGCUCAAACCACACACCGAAGCUGCGGGUGUCACGUAAGUGACGCGGUAGAGGAGCGUUCUGUAAGCCUGUGAAGGUGAGUUGAGAAGCUUGCUGGAGGUAUCAGAAGUGCGAAUGCUGACAUGAGUAACGACAAUGGGUGUGAAAAACACCCACGCCGAAAGACCAAGGGUUCCUGCGCAACGUUAAUCGACGCAGGGUUAGUCGGUUCCUAAGGCGAGGCUGAAAAGCGUAGUCGAUGGGAAACAGGUUAAUAUUCCUGUACUUCUGGUUACUGCGAUGGAGGGACGGAGAAGGCUAGGCCAGCUUGGCGUUGGUUGUCCAAGUUUAAGGUGGUAGGCUGAAAUCUUAGGUAAAUCCGGGGUUUCAAGGCCGAGAGCUGAUGACGAGUCGUCUUUUAGAUGACGAAGUGGUUGAUGCCAUGCUUCCAAGAAAAGCUUCUAAGCUUCAGGUAACCAGGAACCGUACCCCAAACCGACACAGGUGGUCGGGUAGAGAAUACCAAGGCGCUUGAGAGAACUCGGGUGAAGGAACUAGGCAAAAUGGCACCGUAACUUCGGGAGAAGGUGCGCCGGCUAGGGUGAAGGAUUUACUCCGUAAGCUCUGGCUGGUCGAAGAUACCAGGCCGCUGCGACUGUUUAUUAAAAACACAGCACUCUGCAAACACGAAAGUGGACGUAUAGGGUGUGACGCCUGCCCGGUGCCGGAAGGUUAAUUGAUGGGGUUAGCGCAAGCGAAGCUCUUGAUCGAAGCCCCGGUAAACGGCGGCCGUAACUAUAACGGUCCUAAGGUAGCGAAAUUCCUUGUCGGGUAAGUUCCGACCUGCACGAAUGGCGUAACGAUGGCGGCGCUGUCUCCACCCGAGACUCAGUGAAAUUGAAAUCGCUGUGAAGAUGCAGUGUAUCCGCGGCUAGACGGAAAGACCCCGUGAACCUUUACUGUAGCUUUGCACUGGACUUUGAGCCUGCUUGUGUAGGAUAGGUGGGAGGCUUUGAAGCGUGGACGCCAGUUCGCGUGGAGCCAUCCUUGAAAUACCACCCUGGCAUGCUUGAGGUUCUAACUCUGGUCCGUAAUCCGGAUCGAGGACAGUGUAUGGUGGGCAGUUUGACUGGGGCGGUCUCCUCCUAAAGAGUAACGGAGGAGUACGAAGGUGCGCUCAGACCGGUCGGAAAUCGGUCGCAGAGUAUAAAGGCAAAAGCGCGCUUGACUGCGAGACAGACACGUCGAGCAGGUACGAAAGUAGGUCUUAGUGAUCCGGUGGUUCUGUAUGGAAGGGCCAUCGCUCAACGGAUAAAAGGUACUCCGGGGAUAACAGGCUGAUACCGCCCAAGAGUUCAUAUCGACGGCGGUGUUUGGCACCUCGAUGUCGGCUCAUCACAUCCUGGGGCUGAAGCCGGUCCCAAGGGUAUGGCUGUUCGCCAUUUAAAGUGGUACGCGAGCUGGGUUUAGAACGUCGUGAGACAGUUCGGUCCCUAUCUGCCGUGGACGUUUGAGAUUUGAGAGGGGCUGCUCCUAGUACGAGAGGACCGGAGUGGACGAACCUCUGGUGUUCCGGUUGUCACGCCAGUGGCAUUGCCGGGUAGCUAUGUUCGGAAAAGAUAACCGCUGAAAGCAUCUAAGCGGGAAACUUGCCUCAAGAUGAGAUCUCACUGGGAACUUGAUUCCCCUGAAGGGCCGUCGAAGACUACGACGUUGAUAGGCUGGGUGUGUAAGCGUUGU